GGGUUGUGAGGUUAAGCGACUAAGCGUACACGGUGGAUGCCCUGGCAGUCAGAGGCGAUGAAGGACGUGCUAAUCUGCGAUAAGCGUCGGUAAGGUGAUAUGAACCGUUAUAACCGGCGAUUUCCGAAUGGGGAAACCCAGUGUGUUUCGACACACUAUCAUUAACUGAAUCCAUAGGUUAAUGAGGCGAACCGGGGGAACUGAAACAUCUAAGUACCCCGAGGAAAAGAAAUCAACCGAGAUUCCCCCAGUAGCGGCGAGCGAACGGGGAGGAGCCCAGAGCCUGAAUCAGUGUGUGUGUUAGUGGAAGCGUCUGGAAAGGCGCGCGAUACAGGGUGACAGCCCCGUACACAAAAAUGCACAUGCUGUGAGCUCGAUGAGUAGGGCGGGACACGUGGUAUCCUGUCUGAAUAUGGGGGGACCAUCCUCCAAGGCUAAAUACUCCUGACUGACCGAUAGUGAACCAGUACCGUGAGGGAAAGGCGAAAAGAACCCCGGCGAGGGGAGUGAAAAAGAACCUGAAACCGUGUACGUACAAGCAGUGGGAGCACGCUUAGGCGUGUGACUGCGUACCUUUUGUAUAAUGGGUCAGCGACUUAUAUUCUGUAGCAAGGUUAACCGAAUAGGGGAGCCGAAGGGAAACCGAGUCUUAACUGGGCGUUAAGUUGCAGGGUAUAGACCCGAAACCCGGUGAUCUAGCCAUGGGCAGGUUGAAGGUUGGGUAACACUAACUGGAGGACCGAACCGACUAAUGUUGAAAAAUUAGCGGAUGACUUGUGGCUGGGGGUGAAAGGCCAAUCAAACCGGGAGAUAGCUGGUUCUCCCCGAAAGCUAUUUAGGUAGCGCCUCGUGAAUUCAUCUCCGGGGGUAGAGCACUGUUUCGGCAAGGGGGUCAUCCCGACUUACCAACCCGAUGCAAACUGCGAAUACCGGAGAAUGUUAUCACGGGAGACACACGGCGGGUGCUAACGUCCGUCGUGAAGAGGGAAACAACCCAGACCGCCAGCUAAGGUCCCAAAGUCAUGGUUAAGUGGGAAACGAUGUGGGAAGGCCCAGACAGCCAGGAUGUUGGCUUAGAAGCAGCCAUCAUUUAAAGAAAGCGUAAUAGCUCACUGGUCGAGUCGGCCUGCGCGGAAGAUGUAACGGGGCUAAACCAUGCACCGAAGCUGCGGCAGCGACGCUUAUGCGUUGUUGGGUAGGGGAGCGUUCUGUAAGCCUGUGAAGGUGUACUGUGAGGUAUGCUGGAGGUAUCAGAAGUGCGAAUGCUGACAUAAGUAACGAUAAAGCGGGUGAAAAGCCCGCUCGCCGGAAGACCAAGGGUUCCUGUCCAACGUUAAUCGGGGCAGGGUGAGUCGACCCCUAAGGCGAGGCCGAAAGGCGUAGUCGAUGGGAAACAGGUUAAUAUUCCUGUACUUGGUGUUACUGCGAAGGGGGGACGGAGAAGGCUAUGUUGGCCGGGCGACGGUUGUCCCGGUUUAAGCGUGUAGGCUGGUUUUCCAGGCAAAUCCGGAAAAUCAAGGCUGAGGCGUGAUGACGAGGCACUACGGUGCUGAAGCAACAAAUGCCCUGCUUCCAGGAAAAGCCUCUAAGCAUCAGGUAACAUCAAAUCGUACCCCAAACCGACACAGGUGGUCAGGUAGAGAAUACCAAGGCGCUUGAGAGAACUCGGGUGAAGGAACUAGGCAAAAUGGUGCCGUAACUUCGGGAGAAGGCACGCUGAUAUGUAGGUGAAGUGAUUUACUCAUGGAGCUGAAAUCAGUCGAAGAUACCAGCUGGCUGCAACUGUUUAUUAAAAACACAGCACUGUGCAAACACGAAAGUGGACGUAUACGGUGUGACGCCUGCCCGGUGCCGGAAGGUUAAUUGAUGGGGUUAGCGCAAGCGAAGCUCUUGAUCGAAGCCCCGGUAAACGGCGGCCGUAACUAUAACGGUCCUAAGGUAGCGAAAUUCCUUGUCGGGUAAGUUCCGACCUGCACGAAUGGCGUAAUGAUGGCCAGGCUGUCUCCACCCGAGACUCAGUGAAAUUGAACUCGCUGUGAAGAUGCAGUGUACCCGCGGCAAGACGGAAAGACCCCGUGAACCUUUACUAUAGCUUGACACUGAACAUUGAGCCUUGAUGUGUAGGAUAGGUGGGAGGCUUUGAAGUGUGGACGCCAGUCUGCAUGGAGCCGACCUUGAAAUACCACCCUUUAAUGUUUGAUGUUCUAACGUUGACCCGUAAUCCGGGUUGCGGACAGUGUCUGGUGGGUAGUUUGACUGGGGCGGUCUCCUCCUAAAGAGUAACGGAGGAGCACGAAGGUUGGCUAAUCCUGGUCGGACAUCAGGAGGUUAGUGCAAUGGCAUAAGCCAGCUUGACUGCGAGCGUGACGGCGCGAGCAGGUGCGAAAGCAGGUCAUAGUGAUCCGGUGGUUCUGAAUGGAAGGGCCAUCGCUCAACGGAUAAAAGGUACUCCGGGGAUAACAGGCUGAUACCGCCCAAGAGUUCAUAUCGACGGCGGUGUUUGGCACCUCGAUGUCGGCUCAUCACAUCCUGGGGCUGAAGUAGGUCCCAAGGGUAUGGCUGUUCGCCAUUUAAAGUGGUACGCGAGCUGGGUUUAGAACGUCGUGAGACAGUUCGGUCCCUAUCUGCCGUGGGCGCUGGAGAAUUGAGGGGGGCUGCUCCUAGUACGAGAGGACCGGAGUGGACGCAUCACUGGUGUUCGGGUUGUCAUGCCAAUGGCACUGCCCGGUAGCUAAAUGCGGAAGAGAUAAGUGCUGAAAGCAUCUAAGCACGAAACUUGCCCCGAGAUGAGUUCUCCCUGAC
Molecule: ribosomal RNA, 2802 nt
Filed under: Escherichia coli
Lineage: Bacteria; Pseudomonadati; Pseudomonadota; Gammaproteobacteria; Enterobacterales; Enterobacteriaceae
Description: partial 23S ribosomal RNA
Rfam family: Bacterial large subunit ribosomal RNA
Source: RNAcentral